UACAGAGACUGCAAGCGUUAUUCGGAUUCACUGGGCGUAAAGGGUGCGCAGGCGGCCAUGUGUGUUAGGCGUGAAAGCCCGGGGCUUAACCCCGGAAUUGCACCUAAAACUACGUGGCUAGAGCAUUGGAGAGGGUAGCGGAAUUCACGGUGUAGCAGUGAAAUGCGUAGAUAUCGUGAGGAACACCAGAGGCGAAGGCGGCUACCUGGACAAUUGCUGACGCUCAGGCACGAAAGCGUGGGGAGCAAAAGGG
Molecule: ribosomal RNA, 253 nt
Filed under: uncultured bacterium
Lineage: Bacteria
Description: partial 16S ribosomal RNA
Rfam family: Bacterial small subunit ribosomal RNA
Source: RNAcentral